This 963-nucleotide ribosomal RNA is filed under the name Rhodosalinus halophilus. RNAcentral's name for it is "bacterial LSU rRNA". It matches the Rfam family "Bacterial large subunit ribosomal RNA", at positions 1956 to 2925 of the family's 2925-position model. Lineage: Bacteria; Pseudomonadati; Pseudomonadota; Alphaproteobacteria; Rhodobacterales; Paracoccaceae. The record is from RNAcentral.
GUAGCGAAAUUCCUUGUCGGGUAAGUUCCGACCUGCACGAAUGGCGUAACGACUUCCCCGCUGUCUCCAACAUCGGCUCAGCGAAAUUGAAUUGCCUGUCAAGAUGCAGGCUUCCCGCGGUUAGACGGAAAGACCCCGUGCACCUUUACUACAGCUUCAGACUGGCAUCAGGAUUGCGAUGUGCAGGAUAGGUGGCAGGCUUCGAAGCCGGGACGCCAGUUCCGGUGGAGCCUCCCUUGAGAUACCACCCUUCGCACUCUUGAUGUCUAACCGCGGCCCCUGAUCGGGGUCCGGGACCCUCUGUGGCGGGUAGUUUGACUGGGGCGGUCGCCUCCCAAAGAGUAACGGAGGCGCGCGAAGGUUGGCUCAGAGCGGUCGGAAAUCGCUCGUUGAGUGCAAUGGCAGAAGCCAGCCUGACUGCGAGACUGACAGGUCGAGCAGAGACGAAAGUCGGCCAUAGUGAUCCGGUGGUCCCGCGUGGAAGGGCCAUCGCUCAACGGAUAAAAGGUACGCCGGGGAUAACAGGCUGAUACUGCCCAAGAGUCCAUAUCGACGGCAGUGUUUGGCACCUCGAUGUCGGCUCAUCUCAUCCUGGGGCUGGAGCAGGUCCCAAGGGUACGGCUGUUCGCCGUUUAAAGAGGUACGUGAGCUGGGUUUAGAACGUCGUGAGACAGUUCGGUCCCUAUCUGCCGUGGGUGCAGGAUACUUGAGAGGAGUUGCCCCUAGUACGAGAGGACCGGGGUGAACGAUCCACUGGUGGACCUGUUGUGGCGCCAGCCGCAGUGCAGGGUAGCUAUGAUCGGACGGGAUAACCGCUGAAGGCAUCUAAGCGGGAAGCCCCCCUCGAAACAAGGUAUCCCCGAGGGCCGUGGUAGACCACCACGUCGAUAGGCCGGAGGUGUAAGCGCAGCAAUGCGCUCAGCUGACCGGUACUAAUGGCCCGACAGGCUUGAUCCGAUCCAG